This 270-nucleotide ribosomal RNA is filed under the name uncultured bacterium. RNAcentral describes it as "partial 16S ribosomal RNA". It matches the Rfam family "Bacterial small subunit ribosomal RNA", at positions 524 to 776 of the family's 1533-position model. The record is from RNAcentral.
UACGUAGGAGGCAAGCGUUGUCCGGAAUUACUGGGCGUAAAGCGCGUGUAGGUGGUGGGACAAGUCUGCUGUGAAAGCGCCUGGCUUAACCGGGCGAGGUCGGCGGAAACUGUCCGACUAGAGGACGGUAGAGGGGGGGUGGAAUUCCCGGUGUAGUGGUGAAAUGCGUAGAGAUCGGGAGGAACACCGGUGGCGAAGGCGGCCCGCUGGGCAGGAAGGCUCGCAAGAGCCGGCUGACGCUGAGGCGCGACAGCGUGGGGAGCAAACAGG